This 442-nucleotide ribosomal RNA is filed under the name uncultured Enterobacteriaceae bacterium. Its description in RNAcentral is "bacterial SSU rRNA". It matches the Rfam family "Bacterial small subunit ribosomal RNA", at positions 320 to 754 of the family's 1533-position model. Lineage: Bacteria; Pseudomonadati; Pseudomonadota; Gammaproteobacteria; Enterobacterales; Enterobacteriaceae. The record is from RNAcentral.
UGAGACACGGUCCAGACUCCUACGGGAGGCAGCAGUGGGGAAUAUUGCACAAUGGGGGAAACCCUGAUGCAGCUAUGCCGCGUGUGUGAAGAAGGCCUUCGGGUUGUAAAGCACUUUCAGUGGGAAAGAAGGCAUCAAUGUUAAUAUCAUUGAUGAUUGACGUUACCCAAAGAAGAAGCACCGGCUAACUCCGUGCCAGCAGCCGCGGUAAUACGGAGGGUGCUAGCGUUAAUCGGAAUUACUGGGCGUAAAGCGUAUGUAGGCGGUUUAUUAAGUCAGAUGUGAAAUCCCUAGGCUUAACCUUGGAACUGCAUUUGAAACUGAUAGGCUAGAGUCUCGUAGAGGGGGGUAGAAUUCCAGGUGUAGCGGUGAAAUGCGUAGAGAUCUGGAGGAAUACCAGUGGCGAAGGCGACCCCCUGGAUGAAAACUGACGCUCAGAUAC